CUACAAUGGUGGUUAACAGAGGGAAGCAAGACCGCGAGGUGGAGCAAAUCCCUAAAAGCCAUCCCAGUUCGGAUUGCAGGCUGCAACCCGCCUGUAUGAAGUUGGAAUCGCUAGUAAUCGCGGAUCAGCAUGCCGCGGUGAAUACGUUCCCGGGCCUUGUACACACCGCCCGUCACACCAUGAGAGCCGGGAACACCCGAAGUCCGUAGUCUAACCGCAAGGAGGACGCGGCCGAAGGUGGGUUUGGUAAUUGGGGUGAAGUCGUAACAAGGUACC
RNAcentral lists this ribosomal RNA (276 nucleotides) under uncultured bacterium. RNAcentral describes it as "partial 16S ribosomal RNA". It matches the Rfam family "Bacterial small subunit ribosomal RNA", at positions 1225 to 1500 of the family's 1533-position model. The record is from RNAcentral.